RNAcentral lists this non-coding RNA (30 nucleotides) under Rattus norvegicus (Norway rat). The record is from RNAcentral. Lineage: Eukaryota; Metazoa; Chordata; Mammalia; Rodentia; Muridae.
UUACAAUACCAGAAUGCUCCUGACCCUUGU